CUACUACACACUGAAAAAAAAAAAACACUUCCCAUCCAACCAAGUAAACAAUGAUGCUUGCUGGCUUUUCUAAAAGUGAUGCUUGUUGCGCACUAUCAACAGCUGGUGCUUCAGCUGGCCUCUCGUCUUGUCGAUCCGAUGUUGUACUUUGCUCCUUUUGCAUAGCAGUUUCCAUCGCUGCAUAAUAAGCCAAAGCAGUCGGAACACCAAGAAACACACUCAUCAAUUGGUUAGAUUUAUCUCCCCGUGAUGCCAUUUAUCCAAAUUACAUAGAGCGUGAUGCCAUUUCAAAGCUCCUCUAAACAUAUCUUGCCCCAAACAAGAUGAACAAAACUUGCCUCAACUGAGAGCAUUGGGCGCCAUCGACAAACCCAGUUUAGCUAGUUCGUGAGCUACUUUAAUACAAUGAAAUUACUUGAGACUUGAGAGAAAGUAUUUGGGGCUCCUAGAUAAAGAGCAUCAGUAGGAGCAAAGUCAGACCAUUGGUCUGCAAUGCCUUCUUCAGAUUUAAUUCAGUGCAUCGGUCUUCAAGAUCUUCCUGUUCC
Molecule: long non-coding RNA, 545 nt
Filed under: Setaria italica (foxtail millet)
Lineage: Eukaryota; Viridiplantae; Streptophyta; Magnoliopsida; Poales; Poaceae
Description: long non-coding RNA (SITA_LNC003817)
Source: RNAcentral